Molecule: ribosomal RNA, 468 nt
Filed under: uncultured bacterium
Lineage: Bacteria
Description: partial 16S ribosomal RNA
Rfam family: Bacterial small subunit ribosomal RNA
Source: RNAcentral
GACGAACGCUGGCGGCGUGCUUAACACAUGCAAGUCGAACGGAAAGGCCCUGCUUUUGUGGGGUGCUCGAGUGGCGAACGGGUGAGUAACACGUGAGUAACCUGCCCUUGACUUUGGGGUAACUUCAGGAAACUGGGGCUAAUACCGGCUAGGAGCUCCUGCUGCAUGGUGGGGGUUGGAAAGUUUCGGCGGUUGGGGAUGGACUCGCGGCUUAUCAGCUUGUUGGUGGGGUGGUGGCUUACCAAGGCGUUGACGGGUAGCCGGCCUGAGAGGGUGACCGGCGACAUUGGGACUGAGAUACGGCCCAGACUCCUACGGGAGGCAGCAGUGGGGAAUAUUGCACAAUGGGCGGAAGCCUGAUGCAGCAACGCCGCGUGCGGGAUGACGGCCUUCGGGUUGUAAACCGCUUUCGCCUGUGACGAAGCGUGAGUGACGGUAAUGGGUAAAGAAGCACCGGCUAACUACGUG